UGUGCAGACUAAGUCUAUAGGUUUAUGUUUGUCUCAGUGUGUGCUGACUCACUGUGAUAAAUCAAUUUAUAUACCAGGAUGAAUCAUCUCGAUUAUGCAAACAGCGAUAUUGUAUAAGAUACAACACAAAUGAUUUAGAUUAAAAAAUAUUUCGAGAUCUAAACUUAAACCCAUGUAUAUAAUGCACUUAAUUAAAAAU
RNAcentral lists this long non-coding RNA (199 nucleotides) under Elaeis guineensis (African oil palm). RNAcentral's name for it is "long non-coding RNA (EGUI_LNC037301)". Lineage: Eukaryota; Viridiplantae; Streptophyta; Magnoliopsida; Arecales; Arecaceae. The record is from RNAcentral.